CUGGGUGCCGCCUACCCUGGUUUGGCAGCAGACUGUAAAUCUGUCGCGGAAACGCAUUGGGAGUUCAAAUCUCUCCACCCA
RNAcentral lists this transfer RNA (81 nucleotides) under Gordonia Phage Sephiroth. Its description in RNAcentral is "tRNA-Tyr". It matches the Rfam family "tRNA". Rfam says of the family: Transfer RNA (tRNA) molecules are approximately 80 nucleotides in length. Their secondary structure includes four short double-helical elements and three loops (D, anti-codon, and T loops). The record is from RNAcentral. Lineage: Duplodnaviria; Heunggongvirae; Uroviricota; Caudoviricetes.